GAUGAAGAACGUAGCGAAAUGCGAUAAGUAAUGUGAAUUGCAGAAUUCAGUGAAUCAUCGAAUCUUUGAACGCACAUUGCGCCCGCCAGUAUUCUGGCGGGCAUGCCUGUUCGAGCGUCAUUUCAACCAUCAAGCCCCCGGCUUGUGUUGGGGACCUGCGGCUGCCGCAGGCCCUGAAAAGCAGUGGCGGGCUCGCUGUCACACCGAGCGUAGUAGCAUACAUCUCGCUCUGGGCGUGCUGCGGGUUCCGGCCGUUAAACCACCUUCAUAACCCAAGGUUGACCUCGGAUCAGGUAGGAAGACCCGCGGAACUUAAGCAUAUCAAUAAGCGGAGGA
This 336-nucleotide unclassified non-coding RNA is filed under the name soil metagenome. RNAcentral's name for it is "partial contains 5.8S ribosomal RNA, internal transcribed spacer 2, and large subunit ribosomal RNA". The stretch from base 1 to 120 matches the Rfam family "5.8S ribosomal RNA", at positions 35 to 154 of the family's 154-position model. The record is from RNAcentral.